ACUGCUCAGUAACACGUGGAUAACCUGCCCUUGGGUCCGGGAUAACCCCGGGAAACUGGGACUAAUACCGGAUAGAUCAAAGAUACUGGAAUGUUCUCUGGUCCAAAACUCCGGUGCCCAAGGAUGGGUCUGCGGCCUAUCAGGUUGUAGUGGGUGUAACGUACCUACUAGCCUGCGACGGGUAAGGGUUGUGAGAGCAAGAUCCCUGAGAUGGAUUCUGAGACAUGAAUCCAGGCCCUACGGGGUGCAGCAGGCGCGAAAACUUUACACUGCGGGAAACCGCGAUAAGGGGACCCCGAGUGCCAGCACCUAGUGCUGGCUGUCCCGCUGUCCAAACAACAGUGGUUAGCAAGGGCCGGGCAAGACCGGUGCCAGCCGCCGCGGUAACACCGGCGGCCCGAGUGGUAGCCGCUAUUAUUGGGUUUAAAGGGCCCGUAGCCGGCCUAUUAAGUCUCUUGGGAAAUCUGGCGGCUUAAUCGUCAGGCGUCCAAGAGAUACUGGUAGGCUUGGGACCGGGAGAGGUGGGAGGUACUCCAGGGGUAGGGGUGAAAUCUCGUAAUCCUUGGGGGACCACCGAUGGCGAAGGCAUCCCACCAGAACGGGUCCGACGGUGAGGGACGAAAGCUGGGGGCACGAACCGGAUUAGAUACCCGGGUAGUCCCAGCUGUAAACGAUGCUCGCUAGGUGUCAGGUGCGGUGCGACCGCAUCUGGUGCCGCAGUGAAAACUUGAAGCGAGUCACCUGGGAAGUACGGUCGCAAGGCUGAAACUUAAAGGAAUUGGCGGGGGAGCAC
This 793-nucleotide ribosomal RNA is filed under the name uncultured archaeon. RNAcentral describes it as "bacterial SSU rRNA". It matches the Rfam family "Archaeal small subunit ribosomal RNA", at positions 85 to 879 of the family's 1478-position model. The record is from RNAcentral.